RNAcentral lists this ribosomal RNA (907 nucleotides) under Teratosphaeria proteae-arboreae. RNAcentral's name for it is "eukaryotic LSU rRNA". It matches the Rfam family "Eukaryotic large subunit ribosomal RNA", at positions 1 to 938 of the family's 3401-position model. Lineage: Eukaryota; Fungi; Ascomycota; Dothideomycetes; Mycosphaerellales; Teratosphaeriaceae. The record is from RNAcentral.
GUUGACCUCGGAUCAGGUAGGGAUACCCGCUGAACUUAAGCAUAUCAAUAAGCGGAGGAAAAGAAACCAACAGGGAUUGCCUCAGUAACGGCGAGUGAAGCGGCAACAGCUCAAAUUUGAAAUCUGGCGCAAGCCCGAGUUGUAAUUUGUAGAGGAUGCUUCAGGGCAGCGGCCGGUCUAAGUUCCUUGGAACAGGACGUCAUAGAGGGUGAGAAUCCCGUAUGCGACCGGUUGGCACCCGUCACGUAGCUCCUUCGACGAGUCGAGUUGUUUGGGAAUGCAGCUCUAAAUGGGUGGUAAAUUCCAUCUAAAGCUAAAUACCGGCCAGAGACCGAUAGCGCACAAGUAGAGUGAUCGAAAGAUGAAAAGCACUUUGGAAAGAGAGUUAAAAAGCACGUGAAAUUGUUGAAAGGGAAGCGCAUGCAACCAGACUUGUCGGCGGCGUUCCGCCGGUCUUCUGACCGGUCCACUCGCCGCCGGCAGGCCAGCAUCAUCUGGGCGCGCCGGACAAAGGCGCGGGGAAUGUAGCUCCUCGGAGUGUUAUAGCCCCGCGCACAAUACGGCGCCGCCCGGGUGAGGUCCGCGCUCCGGCUAGGAUGCUGGCGUAAUGGUUGUAUGCGGCCCGUCUUGAAACACGGACCAAGGAGUCUAACAUCUAUGCGAGUGUUCGGGUGUCAAACCCCUGCGCGGAAUGAAAGUGAACGGAGGUGGGAAGCGCAAGCUGCACCAUCGACCGAUCCUGAUGUCUUCGGAUGGAUUCGAGUAAGAGCAUAGCUGUUGGGACCCGAAAGAUGGUGAACUAAACUUGGCCAGAGCGAAGCCAGAGGAAACUCUGGUGGAGGCUCGCAGCGGUUCUGACGUGCAAAUCGAUCGUCAAAGCUGGGUUUAGGGGCGAAAGACUAAUCGA